UACGGAGGGUGCAAGCGUUAUCCGGAUUUACUGGGUUUAAAGGGUGUGUAGGCGGGCUUUUAAGUCAGUGGUGAAAUCUCCGGGCUCAACCCGGAAACUGCCAUUGAUACUAUUAGUCUUGAAUUCUGUUGAGGUAGGCGGAAUAAGUCAUGUAGCGGUGAAAUGCAUAGAUACAAUCAAGAACUCCGAUUGCGUAGGCAGCUAACUAGGCUGUAACUGACGCUGAGGCACGAAAGCGUGGGGAGCGAACAGG
RNAcentral lists this ribosomal RNA (253 nucleotides) under uncultured bacterium. Its description in RNAcentral is "partial 16S ribosomal RNA". It matches the Rfam family "Bacterial small subunit ribosomal RNA", at positions 524 to 776 of the family's 1533-position model. The record is from RNAcentral.